UACGUAGGGACCAAGCGUUGUUCGGAUUUACUGGGCGUAAAGGGCGCGUAGGCGGCGUGUCAAGUCAAUUGUGAAAUCUCCGGGCUUAACUCGGAACGGUCAAUUGAUACUGAUGUGCUAGAGUGCAGAAGGGGCAAUCGGAAUUCUUGGUGUAGCGGUGAAAUGCGUAGAUAUCAAGAGGAACACCUGAGGUGAAGGCGGGUUGCUGGGCUGACACUGACGCUGAGGCGCGAAAGCUAGGGUAGCAAACGGG
Molecule: ribosomal RNA, 253 nt
Filed under: uncultured bacterium
Lineage: Bacteria
Description: partial 16S ribosomal RNA
Rfam family: Bacterial small subunit ribosomal RNA
Source: RNAcentral